This 156-nucleotide ribosomal RNA is filed under the name Curcuma amada. RNAcentral's name for it is "5.8S ribosomal RNA". It matches the Rfam family "5.8S ribosomal RNA". Rfam says of the family: 5.8S ribosomal RNA (5.8S rRNA) is a component of the large subunit of the eukaryotic ribosome. It is transcribed by RNA polymerase I as part of the 45S precursor that also contains 18S and 28S rRNA. The record is from RNAcentral. Lineage: Eukaryota; Viridiplantae; Streptophyta; Magnoliopsida; Zingiberales; Zingiberaceae.
CUCUCGGCAAUGGAUAUCUCGGCUCUUGCAUCGAUGAAGAACGUAGUGAAUGCGAUACUGGUGUGAAUUGCAGAAUCUCGUGAACCAUUGAGUCUUUGAACGCAAGUUGUGCCCGAGGCCUUGUGGUCGAGGGCACGCCUGCUUGGGUGUCAUGAC